Molecule: ribosomal RNA, 253 nt
Filed under: uncultured bacterium
Lineage: Bacteria
Description: partial 16S ribosomal RNA
Rfam family: Bacterial small subunit ribosomal RNA
Source: RNAcentral
UACGUAGGGGGCAAGCGGUGUCCGGAUUUACUGGGUGUAAAGGGCGCGCAGGCGGGUUUGUAAGUCGGUGGUGAAAGCCUGUGGCUUAACUGCAGAACUGCCAUUGAUACUGCAAAUCUUGAGUGCGGAAGAGAGAGACGGAAUUCCAGGUGUAGUGGUGAAAUACGUAGAUAUCUGGAAGAACACCAGUUGCGAAGGCGGUCUCUUGGUCCGUAACUGACGCUGAGGCGCGAAAGCGUGGGUAGCAAAUAGG